This 119-nucleotide ribosomal RNA is filed under the name Sinocyclocheilus rhinocerous. The record is from RNAcentral. Lineage: Eukaryota; Metazoa; Chordata; Actinopteri; Cypriniformes; Cyprinidae.
GCUUACGGCCAUAACACCCUUUCUGCGCCCGUUCUAGUUUGAUCUAGGAAGCUAAGCAGGGGCAUGGUUGGUUAGUACUUGGAUGGGAGACCGCCUGGGAAUACCAGGUGCUGUAAGCU